UUCAUUUCAGACCGCAGAGCUUAUUAAUAUUCAGUAAUAUGUCUAGGCUUGAACAGAUAAAAAUAGCCAAGCCUUUCAUUUAGAAACAGACUUCUCUAAGCACAAGCUUAUUUUCUCUAUCGCUGCAAGUAUAACUGCCUGUCUCUGCAGAUAGAUCAUCCGUCUCCUUCCAGUGACCAGCAUGUGAAAUGAUGGUCACUGUCACUUAUUUUGUUUCAUGAAAGGCUGCCUGUUAGCACAUUUGUCUGUUUCUCUUUCAACCAUACUUGAACCUGCACCCCCCCCCCAAAAUAUUAAAAUACGUUAAAUAUCUGUUAAAUAUCCCUUCUAUCUGUUAAGGGGAAGAUUAUCCUUCAGUAAGAGGUGAUCCUUGGUCACCCCCAAUGUUAGCAUUAUCUGCACAUUAUAGAGCUGUGCUGUUUAAUACAGCAGCUGCUAGUCAUGUGAAGAUUUUACAUUUAAAUUUAUUAAAAUAAAAUAAUUCAGUUUCUCAGUUGCACCAGCCACAUUUCAAGGGCUUAGUAGUUGCAUGUGGCUAGUGAUUACUCCACUGGGCGGCACAGAGUAUUUCAAUUUUUUCAGAAAGUUCUAUUAGACAGCACUGCUAUAGAAGCUCAACUGAGUAAAUAUAUCUGUUGACUAAAGAAAAAAAAAUCAAGCUUUUAGAGAAUUAAAGUUAAUUUUAUUCAGAAGUCUUACUGAGGACUAUAGACUACCGUCUAUAGCCCCAGGGCAGUUCUGUCAGACUGUUUCAGCACAAUAUUUUAGCCUACAGCUUAUGUACAUGUGGUAGGGGUUCUGUACUUGUGAAAUCACAUAAAACUUGCUCUGAAGUUAUAUUAAAGCAGAAUCACCUCGAAGUUUGGGUGUAAAAAGACAUCUGGUUGUAGAUUACAGAAGCAUAAUCACUAACUCUGUCAGACAUUAUCUUAUGUCCAGGAAAAGGCAAGGAUGAGGGUCAUUUAUCUUUUACGAAAUGUAGUGACUCAGGCAAAAGACGUGAGGUGGGAGGGAGGUGUGUGCUCUCCGUGUUUUGUCUUCAAAACAUCUUUCAAAAGAGCUGCAUAUCAUCAUAGAGUCAGAGGCUCUGUGAAAUUAUAAUAGCAAAUGGAAAUGGGCAAACAUGGCUUCUUUGCUACUUUGUCUCAUAUAGUAUAUAGAAAGCCAUUUCAAAUUCCAAGUUGACUAUGACUAUUAUUUUUAUGACAGUUCAUGAUUUUUAACUAACUAUAAGUUUUGUGGGGGGUUUUUUGUCAAAUAGUUCAUGUUUUUAGUUUCUUUUUUCUUUUUUUGAGACAGAGUCUUAUUCUGUCACCCCUGCUGAUGUGCAGUGGCGCUGCCUCAGCUCACUGCAACUUCUGCCUCCCAGGUUCAAGCGAUUCUCGUGCCUCAGUCUCCCAAGUAGCUGGGACUACAGGCGCCCGCCACCACGCCUGGCUAAUUUUUGUAUUUUUAGUAGAGACGGGGUAUUACUAUGUUGGCCACGCUGGUCUCAACUCCUGACCUCAAGUGAUCCACCCACCUCAGCCUCCCAAAGUGCUGGGAUUACAGGCAUAAGCCUUGGUGCCCGGCCUCAUGUCUUUCAAUCUGAAAAAAAAAAAAACCCAAAAAAACAAAAAACAAAAAAAAGCCUCUUGGAUGCACCACUAGAGAGUAAUAAUCCAAAAAUCAGGCAGUCCUUGGUCUAGUUCAUAUGUCACCACCACCAGCUGUAUGUCUCCCUUAACCUCUGAGUGUAGAUUCUUUCCUAUAAAAUGGAGACAGUGAUGUUGCCUGCCCUGCUGUUUCAUCAUCAAUAAGCAGGGAUUGUGUCUUAUGUCUUAUUUAUCUUUGUAACCAUGAAGCUUAAAACAGUGAGUGGUACACAGCUGGUGCUCAAUAAAUGUUAAUUAAGCUAAACAAUGAAAUAAUUUACAUGGCUCCCCUUCAUUCCAUCAACGUGUUCUUUGAUAUAUAACUAGGUCGAGGGACUUUAUCUGCUAAAAUUUGAGGGAAGGUGCUGAUGGCAACAUAAAACUUAGGCAGAAGAAAACAUGUCUAAAAAGGAUGUUUAGAAAGUUUUAAGGAAAUUACAACAAAGAUCUAGUAAAUUCUUGAAAGCUUUCUGAGUCAGAGUGAUGCGAUUUAACUGUUACCCUUGGUUGCACCUGGCUUCAAAGCAAGAGUGACUGGGCCUAGUUGUAUACAGGUUAUAGUUAUAUGAGAGAUUAAAAACAGAGCGUGUAAAUUAGUUUCUUAGGACCAUUUAAAUGAUAAAGCAUCUUUUUCUCUUUUACCUUCUGUUCCCCACAAGCCUCACUACCUCCAAGUCUAUAUGAUAGCCAUAGUUUUGAGAGGGUUUAGAGAGAACACAAUAACUUCUUGCCCAGUAGAUACCAGCAUUUUUUCACAGGUAUUAUGUAUAGGAAGCCACAGUUUUAAAAUGAACACUCACAAGGCAAAGCAUUGGAGACCACUGACCAAUAGGCAUGUUUAAAAGUCAGAUUUUUUCAAGCAGCUUCUAAAUUACCAGGGAAACAAGCCAACCAGCCAGAUGUGUGUGCAGUAGAAUUCCAGCUGAGAGAAGCACAGAAGUCAGGCUGUACUGGCAGUUUGGAGGAAGGGUUGGGUUACUCUGGGAAGACAUUCUGGAAAGAAGGACCAAAUGUUCAAAACAGAUUAGCACCCUGACAGAUUGGGAACGGGUUGAAGGAUCUUUUGGGCCAAAAGACUAUGAGGUUUACAUUGUUCUUUGCUUUUCUUUGUAAAGUCAGAGCCCAGAUGUGCUGAGCUCCAGGGGUGAGCUGACCAAGCACAUUGCCAGGUCUCAACUCUCUAUUUACUUCACAAUGAGAUGAAAGUCAGCUCUCUGCAGCUCCUUAGCACAGAAGAGCUUGGUUCAGUGUUUUGCCAUUCAUUAUAUGCCACCUUUGCUUAGGUGGUUUCACAUACAUUCGUCUUCAUUAGGUGAUGCUUUGUGGGCCUACACUCAUUUGCAUGUUUUACAAGACUUCUAUCAUGUCAUUGAAGUGGUAAAAUGGCCCUGGCUGUCUCUUUUCCAAUCUGGCUUCUAUAUCUUAUCAUCUUCUUUAUUUAAUGAAAUGGGAGUGAUGUACAGAUGAGGAGGUCUGGGGAGGUAUUCAUUUUUCUGUCUGGUAUUACUUUUAUCUGUUAUUGAUCAUAUUCUCAAAAUACACUUUAAGGAUGGUGGAAAAUAUACUCUCCAAAUGUUGAUUUGAUGCAGACCUAAUUCUGCAAAUUCAAUAAAUAACAAAUUAAUAUUCCAAAUGCUUUUCCUGACACUUUUGUUUUUUUAGGAUAGUGAUUCCAGAUCUGAGUUCCUUUAGGAUGUCAGAAGCUCUUUUGCAGACAUCAGGCAGCAUUUCAAGUCUUCUCAUUUCUAUGCUAAAACAUUAUUAUGUCCUUUGGCUCCUUAGGAUGCAUGGGAGUCUGGAUCCUUUUGGCCUAAUGCUGGUCAUGGUCAUAUAAGUGAUUGGUCAGUCUCAAAUCUUGGGCAUUGUCCCAUCCUCUCAUCCACCCUUUUCCAAAACACACACAAACACAGCUCAUCCUGGGAGACUGUGUGGUCCAGGGAAAGAAUACUGGACAGACAGGGAGUACAGAGGCCUGGGUUCUAGUUGCCAGCAACUAGCAUAGGCAAUUCUCUCCACCCCUCUGUUUUCUUCAACUGCAAAGUGAUAAAGCUGGAACAGGUCAUCGAUAAGGCUCUGCCAGCUAUUACAUGGCUUAAAUCCAUGAAGCCUGGAGAAUACUAAGGCAAAAACAAUAGGGAGGGCAGAACUCAUAAAAAGACUGCAUCUUCUCAUUGCAAAUGUAAGAAAAUUUGAAGCAGCAGACUUAGACUUCUCAGUUGGUACUUUUCAUCUGGUUCAGAAAGAAAUCAGAAAGUAAAAGAUAUAAGAAACACUUGCUUAAAACUGCUUCUUUUAAUGUAUUUCUUUUUUUAAAAAAUUGCCCUAAGUGUUUCUCCAGAAAUAAGAGAUUUUUUUCUUUCCCACAUCUCUGAUUCCAGGAAGUUUCUAAGUUCUCUGUGUUGCAGAACAUUUGGUAAAGUAUUUGACUUAUUGUAUGGGAUGAUGACUAUGAGAGAGCUAUUUUUGGAUACUUUUAUCUGAAAAUCUUUAUGCACUUUUUUUUUUUUUUUUUUUUUUGGAGAAGGAGUCUUGCUGUGUCGCCCAGGCUGGAGUGCAGUGGCACAAUCUCAGCUCACUGCAGGCUUCGCCUCCUGGGUUCACGCCAUUCUCCUGCCUCAGCCUCCCAAGUAGCUGGGAUUACAGGCACCCACUACCAUGCCUGGCUAAUUUUUUUGUAUUUUUAGUAGAGAUGAGGUUUCACCGUGUUAGCCAGGAUGGUCUCCAUCUCCUGACCUUGUGAUCUGCCCACCUUGGCCUCCCAAAGUGCUGGGAUUACAGGUGUGAGCCACCGUGCCCGGCCUAUGCACUCUUAAAUACAGUUUUUAAAUGUGUGUGUGCAUCCAUGUCUUAGAAUUCAUAGUGUAUAUCAAGAGGAAAAUGGAUUAAUUUCUCAAAAAAGUAAAAUUUCAUAAAUAUGUCUACUGUGCAAAUUAGCAGCAUAUUCCUUAGUGUCUUCCCUAAGUUUCCUCACUGAGUUUCUGUGUCAUAUUGCUUCUCCUCCUGGUGUACUCUUUUCCCACUCCUUUGCCCCAACCACAUACACACUAGGUUUUAGAGCAGCAGCUUCUAGCCCAUUUUCACAGUCUCUGGUCCUGGCAGAACACCUGUUGAAUCUUUGGUCUUUAUAUCACAACCUUUCGUUCAUUCAUCUAAUCCAAAGAAUAUUUUAUAUGCCAGACAUUUUGCUAGAUAGCGAAGAUGUGUCAUAAAUAAAAGAGAAGAGCCCUGUUCAACCUCUCCACCCAAUUGUGGGAGAAAUUGACAUUAAAUAAAUAAUAGCUGAUUAUUUUGUUAAAAUUAUAAUAGUGUUACAUAGGAGAAGUCACUGUGUCUCAGGAGUGUAGAACGGGGAAACUAAUUAGUCAGUGAUUGUGUGAGAGGAGUGUUAGGGAAGACCCCUCAGAGGAAAUGAUAUUUUCUUAGACUUUAAAAGAGGAUGAAGAGUUGUCUAGUUGAAGAUAAAGUGGGGUGAUGCCUAAUAUAUUGCUCAAUAAAUAUUUUUUUAAUGGAUUUGUAAACAAAACUUCCAGAAAGAAUUAUGGGUAUUGAUUAUAUGCUAAUCAUAGUAGUCAGCAUGUAUAAGAAGGUAAAAACUACAUAUAUUUUAGGACCAGGCAGCUCUUAUUCAUUCUGGCAGUGACAUGGAAGUGAGAAAGGCCAGCUGACCUAAAGAGAUCAAACUUUUGACCUUGCCCUCUUUAAUCCAGGACCCUAAACCACUGUGGUAACUAGACAAUUGUGAUAUAUGAAUACUUUGAAAACCUUAAAAAUGAAGAACAUUGAGUCUUUCAUGAAAAUACUCCUGAUCACAGUGUUUGCAUUACAAACUGAAAUCCAGUGGAAUAAACCCUGGUGGGCCUAUGUGGUAAAACUAUCAUAUUUUUCCUAAUGACUGUGCAAACUCAUUAUAAAAUCAUAAUUUUGAGGUUUCAUACCCAUCAUGAGUCAAGAUAGGUUAGUUUUGGCAAAAUACAUCUUCUUGGCUUUAGAGACUGUGAUCCAUCUUUGUGGCAUCAAAGAAGGGCAGCAUAAGUGUUGACUGGAAUCCCAAACUUUUCACCUCCCUUUGAUGCCAAGCCAAGCCUAAGCUUUCAUCAAAAGUACAUAAAUUCUUUUAUAUGGUGUAAUUAGGAGUUUGUAGCAUAAUUUGCAACAGAGGUUGCUUUACUUGCAUGCUUUUUCCCUUCCUGGAUCUUUUUCCCUGACCUGAGAGAAUGAAAAUAAAUCUCACAUCAUCUUCACCAAUUUUCUCUUCAUCCCACCUGGAUGUGCUUCCUCUUAGGUUACCAACUGCCCAACAGAUACGUCAACUGCAAGAUGUUCUAUCAAGCAAUUCACUACUUCCUCCCUUCUCAAUCUUCAGGCUCUGCAUAUGGAAAUGAACAUUUCAUUAUGACCCUAUGACCUACAAAGCUCCCUCUCUGUCACUCCUUAUCAUCUUUCCUAGGGAGGCAAUCAAAAUGAAAUGAUUUUAAGAUUCUAGCACUCCCAACUCUAAGAUGAAAAUGAUGCAGCAAUCAUGAACUCCUGUGUUAUCUGUCACUAUCUCAUAAGUCACAUGAUUUGAAGAGAAGAUCAUUCGGAGCAGUGGAAAAAUGAAAUCAAACAUAGCUGCUACCUCAGAUUGAAGAGAUGUCCUCUCCGAUUCUUUAAAGUAUUUCCUAUUCUCCUACCCACCUCCUCUGUUGUUUGCAAGACUCAAAAAGAUAAAUUUAUAGUGAAAUAAGAAUCCUCCAACUUACAUAUUAGAGCUUCUGCAAUUAAAGAAAAACAGAAAUCAGGCUGGGCGCAGUGGCUCACGCCUGUAAUCCCAGCACUCUGGGAGGCCAAGGUGGGUGGAUCACCUGAGGUCAGGAGCUUGAGACCAGCCUGGCCAACAUGGCAAAACCCCAUCUUUACUAAAAAUACAAAAAUCAGCUGGGUGUGGUGGUGGGUGGCUGUAAUCCCAGCUAUUCAGGAGGCUGAGUCAGGAGAAUCCCUUGAACCCAGGAGGCAGAUGUUGCAGUGAGCCGAGAUGGCACCACUGCACUCCAGCCUGAGUGACAGAGUGAUACUCUGUCUCAAAAAGAAAAAAAGAAAAAGAGAAAUCUAUGGGUGAAGACAAAUGGAAUGGCAAUACCUUGGAGUAGCAUUUACUAAUUCAAGCCAUAUAAACCAUACUAAGGUUGUCAGCCCAGAGGGGAGUCCAUCUGCUAUGUAGAUGAGAGAAUGCGACCAGGAAAGUCAGGACACAAAGCCAUGAUUCUUUCAACUUUUUGGCACUUUAAUAAGUGAAUUGCAUGUCCUGUCUUCUCCAUGAACUCAGCAAAGCUACAACUAAGCUCCUCAUCUUGAGAGUUCACCAUGUGCCCACUUUGACCUAUGGAUGGGCCCCUUGGCACUCUACCUUUUCAGUGUCCUCAACUGCACAAACUUCCUGGGCUGCACUGACUGCUGUACCCAGGCAAUUUUUUGGGAGCUCCAAUGUCUUGUCUAGCACAUGACAUGAGGCUGUAGCAUGUUCUUUCAAGUAUUAGUGCUAAAGAGGUCCCAUUCUACUUUCUCUGACUGAUCAGGUCACUGUUUUCAGCUACCUGGCCCUUCUAAGUCAGGGUCACUAGAGUAUUGGGAGGUUUGUAACUUCUUCAUUGGUGUCUUGUGUUUUCCUGUCUUUGAACUUGAGGAAAGCUGGCCCUGGAUGUUCACAACAUCAACCAAGCAAUGAAAACCACAGCACCCUACAGGAAAUUCUGCAUUUCUCUCAAAACAUGCAAAACACAAAAUUGGGUGGAACCACAGAAGGUUAUGGAUAACUCACUACAGUUUGGACUUUCAAAGGCCCUGGGAAAACUAUCCUACUUUUGUGAGAUACUAUUGUUCUACCUGUAAUGCAAGUGAACAGAUCUUAAUAAGGACAAAUAACAAUUUUUUAAAUGUUUACCAUAUUUUCUCAUUUGUUCCUUUCAUCAAGCAUCCAACCUGCCAGACCCUGCACUUGAUGGAUCAGCUGGCACCACCCAAAUCAAUAAACCGGCUCAUCUGAUCUUGUGGCACCCACCCAAGAACUGACUCAGCACAAGGAGACAGCUUCGACUCCCUGUGAUUUCAUCCCUGUCAACCAGCACUCCUGGCUCACUGGCUUCCCCCCACCCAACCAAGUUAUCCUUAAAAACUCUGCUCCCUGAAUGCUCAGGGAGUUUGAUUUGAAUAAUAAUAAAACUCCAGUCUCCUGCACAGCCGGCUCUAUAAAUUACUCUUUCUCUAUUGCAAUUCCCCUGUCUUGAUGAAUCGGCUCUGUCUAGGCACCGGGCAAGGUGAACCCCUUGGGUGGUUACACUAGCAUUGGUUUUUGUUUGCCACUGCAGCAUUAAUUAUGUGUUUUUUAUGGCAAUAGAAAUUUUUUUUUACUGCCUUUCCUCAAUGUUACAUGAAGACAUAUUUCACAAGUAGGCCAAGUACAAAGUAGGAAUAGAAGCUAGAAUGGAAUCAUAGACCAGAUUCUUACAUAGAUCACAUCAGCCAGGCUGAGGCUCCAUCUGUGUGCAUGGCACGGCACAGCUGCGUUGGUUGCUUAUAGCUAGCAUCUGUUCUGAUUGGUUGGUGCCUGUGGCUUUUCAGUUGCUCAGAGUUUUGAAUACCAACCCUGGGUACACAGUUAUCUCUGAAAGCUAAAAUGGUGAAAUAUAACACAUAAUGAAUGCAAUGAGCCAGCUCUAGACACAACCAAGAGAAUUCCCGUAACUGGGAACCUGAGAAAGUAUAAAAGCACUUAAUUGAAGGUGUAAAUGAGAGAAAGCAGGUUUGAAAUGCAACCAAAACAAAGCCCACACAUAGACAACUGUAUUUAUAAGUUGUUUCUAAAUGGGAAUGGAACGGUGUUUUUCCGGGAAUCUAGGGAACAGUCUCUCUACGGCGACUUUUCUCAUGUGAGAAAACAGACAUUUAGCAGAAAACCAGAAAAUGUUCAUUGGCUUCGGUGAACUUUUAUUCCAAGUUUCAAUGAGGGACCCUGUGCAGAGGCUUGGGACACGGAGACCUCCCUCUGCUGCCUUUAAGGAAGGUCAUUAAAAAAAAAAAAAUUCCGUUUUUUUUUUUUUUUUAAAGACGGAGUCUCGUUCUGUCGCCAGGCUGGAGUGCAGUGGCCUGAUCUCGGCUCACUGCAACCUACGCCUCCCAGGUUCAAGAGACUCUCCUGCCCCAGCCUCCUGAGUACCUGGGACCACAGGCGCCCGCCACCACGCACAGCUAAUUUUUGUAUUUUUAGUAGAGAUGGGGUUUGAGCAUGCUGGCCAGGAUGGCCCCGAUCUCUUGACCUCGUGAUCCGCCCGCCCCAGCCUCCCAAAGUGCUGGGAUUAUAGGCGUGAGCCACCGCCCUUCUAACUUUUCUAUUGUACCACACUGAUGGCAAGGAAGGGCGGUAGGAAAGCCUGCCAAGGAAAGGGAGGACCGGCCUGCAUAUUCUUAAGCGCUGUGGGACACUGUUCUGUAGACGUUGCCCAUCCCAUUGCUCUCUCAGGGAGGGAUGAGCCACGGCCAGGAGCAGCUCCUGGUCAUCUACUGUACCACGUGUGCAGAGGGAAGACACACUCCCAGAGAAGAAAAUGCUGGGAAAAAGAGACCACAGCCUUUGUAUGGUGGCUCAAUGUAAGUACUUCUUGACAUGUCCAGUUGUACAGCUCCUCUUUGGGGUUGGAGCGCUUUGCUUUCCAGGGUGUAGAUUGGGGUCUGGGGAAGUGGUGAAGUGGAGUGAAACUGGAGGCCUGGAGCUCCCCCUAGAGGCCAAAUGUAUUUUACCCUGACUCAAGAAAACCUGGAGCUGGAAGCUUGGCUCAUCAAACCUAAAGUAAGAGUAAGAAUCAGCAGUAUUGUCGGCACUACCCCGGGAAGGGAGAGAUACUAAACCUAGUGAACAGUGCAGGUCCGGAAUCCUUUAUGUGAAGUUCUAAAACUCAAAAAACUUUGAAAAUGGAAACUCUUUUGAGACCUAUUUGGCAACAACGUUUACCUGCAAUAUGAGGACAUAGUCUUUAUUAUCUUAAUGUGAGUAUUUUUAUCUUUUAUGACAGAUAUAUUAAUUAAUGUGUUUAAUCAUGAGAGGCUGCCCAUAUUCCUAGUAGGAACGUUAAAAGGUAGAGUACCCACUAGGGGUGUUUUAAUGUACAGUAUAUGAACUGUUUACUUCUCUCAAAUCUUAAAAAUUCAGAAAUCUGAACUACAUCUGGCCCCAAUCAGCCAAAGGACUAUAGGCCUGGGUAUUAUAAUGCUCACUACUGUGUGGGCCUCAAUCACAGCUCAACCUGUGCCAUGUGACUUUCAACAAGUGACUCACUGGCUAGAAGGCUCAGCUUCUUCUUUAGUAAGAUGGAAAUAUCACUAGUUUAGAUAUUAAAUGAGUUUAUGCACCGUGUUCAGCCCAGGACCUGGCAAAUAGUAAACAUCUAAGAGUGUUAGUGAUUAUUAUCAUACUUUGUUAUUAUUACUUGAUCUGAGAGAGUGCAUACCUCACUUUACUCUGAUUCACAGUCACCAAAGAGUCAUUUGACUACCAGCCACCAGGCCCACUAUUACCAGGAAGGUGGAAUCUUGAAAGACGAACAUGAGCUUUUGGGCCACUGAUGAUCCAUUAUAAAUCAAUAAUUUGAUAUUCUAGAUCCUAUCUCAAUCUCUUGAAUAUCUAGAAAAAUCAAAUCAAACAAAAAUCAGAGAUACUCUUGGUUCUGAGACACACCUAUACACCUAAAACCUUACUGGUUGCAAGCAGGCUUAAGUUACAGACAGCCAGACAGCCAAGAGCAUUUUGAAGGUGGGAAAACUAAGGCAAAGAAAUAGAAUGAUUUUUUUUGACAUGAGCACAAUAAUUGUAUGUGGGUCUUGGCUAAUGGUUUGUGAUUAGUUUACAAUGAUCCAAGAAUCUAGAAUAAGAUUUUCUUUUCUUUUCUUGUCUUGUCUUGUCUUUUCUUGACAUGCAGCCUCACUCUGUUCCCCAGGCUGGAAUGCAUUGGCACUAUCUCGGCUCACUGCAACCUCUGCCUCUUGGGUUCAAGUGAUGCUCCUGCUUCAGCAUCCCUGAGUAGCUGGGACUACAGGCAUGUGCCACCACUCCCAGCUAAAUUUUGUAUUUUUAGUAGAGACAGGGUUUUGCCGUGUUGGCCAGGCUGGUCUCAAACUCCUGACCUCAGGUGAUCUGCCUGCCUUGGCCUCCCAGAGUGCUGGGAUUACAGGUGUGAGCCACUGCACUUGGCCUAGAAUAAAAUUUUCUAAAAUGUUGUACAUAAAAUACUAGUGCUGCAAGAGGUUCUUUGAAUAAAAAAUUUCCCCAAAUUAUUUAAAAAUGAAACCCUUCUUUCAGGGAAUAUUUAUUAACACCCACAGAAUUUGGGUUAGAUAGAGUGUACCUGGGGAAAUACUGUUUUAGAGAGUAUCAACUUCUGUAUAUAAUUCAGGUAGAUAAUUCUUGGCUAUUGGGUAAUUUCAAG
This 11089-nucleotide long non-coding RNA is filed under the name Homo sapiens (human). RNAcentral describes it as "HSALNT0058798". The record is from RNAcentral. Lineage: Eukaryota; Metazoa; Chordata; Mammalia; Primates; Hominidae.